UACGUAGGGGGCGAGCGUUGUCCGGAUUUAUUGGGCGUAAAGAGCUCGUAGGCGGUUCGAUAAGUCGGCUGUGAAAUCUCCACGCUUAACGUGGAGGGGUCAGUCGAUACUGUCGUGACUCGAGUCCGGUAGGGGAGAAUGGAAUUCCCGGUGUAGCGGUGAAAUGCGCAGAGAUCGGGAGGAACACCCGUAGCGAAGGCGGUUCUCUGGGCCGGUACUGACGCUGAGGAGCGAAAGCGUGGGGAGCAAACAGG
This 254-nucleotide ribosomal RNA is filed under the name uncultured bacterium. RNAcentral's name for it is "partial 16S ribosomal RNA". It matches the Rfam family "Bacterial small subunit ribosomal RNA", at positions 524 to 776 of the family's 1533-position model. The record is from RNAcentral.